Molecule: transfer RNA, 71 nt
Filed under: Marmota monax (woodchuck)
Lineage: Eukaryota; Metazoa; Chordata; Mammalia; Rodentia; Sciuridae
Description: tRNA.Val
Rfam family: tRNA
About the family: Transfer RNA (tRNA) molecules are approximately 80 nucleotides in length. Their secondary structure includes four short double-helical elements and three loops (D, anti-codon, and T loops).
Source: RNAcentral
GGGGUUGUGGCUCAGCGGUAGAGCACUCGCCUCACAUGUGCGAGACCCUGGGUUCAAUCCUCAGCACCACA